Molecule: long non-coding RNA, 1208 nt
Filed under: Gallus gallus (chicken)
Lineage: Eukaryota; Metazoa; Chordata; Aves; Galliformes; Phasianidae
Description: lncRNA (ENSGALG00010000867.1)
Source: RNAcentral
AGCUGCAGCCGCCAUGAGGCCUCCCCUCAGCUCCUCUGCUCUGGGCUGAGGAAACCCAGGGGCCUCAGCUGCUCUUCGUAAGUCUUGCCCUCCACGCCCUUUGUAGGCCUCCUUUGGGCACUCUGUAGUAGUUUUAUGUCCGUUUCAUACUGUGACUCCCCACACUAACAGCAACUGAGAAAACACUAACAUUUAGCAAGAUGAUUGCUAGUGUUUCUAUUCUCCGCCUCCACUGUCAGCAUUGAGCCCGAGCCUUUGGUUUCUAGGAAACAUCAUGUAAUUUCCACCUGCAACAGACAUUACUUCUCAGAUCAAGCAGGAUUUCACAUCAAGUAUUAGCUAAAGCUUAGGAAAACUAAGGCUCCAAAACCACUCCUUCUAAAUGGGGUGGACUUCCUAAGCGGAGUGGGUGGCUUAGCAAAUGCUGCCAGGUUUAUGUUUGUAAAUGCUCUUCCCCAUGCUCUUCCUCCAAUCGGGAUUUUUGCAAAGAGCUCAUCUGAGGAAGAGGGAAACACCCCCAGAACUUCAAAAAGGGUACACAGGCAUCCUGCAGGUAAAAAUAAGACAUAAUCAGCAUUCCCGUCUAUCCGAAGUUCCAAAUAGCUAAACAAUCCAAGCAAGUAAUUGGAUUUAUUUACUUUUCCUUCUAGAAACCUACUCUUUUGUCCUGACCAGAUUUGCUUUUUAACAACACUGGCAAUCUCUGUCAGUACGUGAAAUUUUUCCCUAGGUUAAAUCAUUGAGUGUGGGAGGGACACUCAACACUCACUGAAUCUUCAUUCUAAUUUUACUAUCAGACAUAAACCUCAUUAAAUCUCAGCCUCAGAACUGUUUGUAAAGGAAAUGGCUUGUAAACCUUAACGAGGCAAACUGUGGGGGCUCAGUGCUAUCGUCAUUCCAAAAACUUGUAUUUUUUUCAAAGGAAGUUUUGUCUGCAUGAAGACAGGUAGGAUCUGCUCUGGAUAUUUUAAUUUCCUGCCUUGUUAAUUUCCAGCAGUAAAUUUUGAUGAGAUGGUGAUAAAUAGAUACAAUAUAAGGCUAUUUGCUUUAAGAUGGCAAUCUUUAUUUCUUUGUUUUUAUUGCAAAAUUUCUAAAUACCAACACUUAACUCCAGUGACAUUAACUGGUAUCUAUUCUAGAAAAAAGGUUUGAGGCUGUCCUCUUACGGAAGCCAUGUAAACAGUUUCUUUCUGUUCAACUGAAAGCAU